CGCAGACAACCAGGAUGUUGGCUCAGAAGCAGCCACUCAUUCAAAGAGUGCGUAAUAGCUCACUGGUCGAGCGUCUUUGCGCGGAGAAUUUAACGGGGCUAAACCUGGCACCGAAGCUUAGGCAAUGUAGUAAUACAUUGGGUAGGGGAGCGUUGUAUACGCGGCGAAACAGUAGCGCAAGCGGCUGUGGAGUGUAUAGAAGUGAGAAUGCCGGAAUGAGUAGCGCGAAUGCAGUGAGAAUCUGCAUGGCCGAAAGCCUCAGGUUUUUGGAGGAAGGUUCGUCCGCUCCAAGUUAGUCGGGAGCUAAGGUGAGGCCGGAAGGCGUAGCCGAUGCACAGACGGUAGAGAUUCCGUCACCACCAAAAGAGUUAAGCACAGGGACACAUAAGAAGUCUCAGAGCCGGGUGUUGGUUCCGGUAGAGAUCGAGGGAAAAUAGUACCGAAGUCUGGGAUGGAAGAUGGCGAGAAAAGCUGUGUGGAUUUCUGAGGUGCCCGUACCGCAAACCGACACAGGUAGGUAGGAAGAAGAUUCUAAGGCCAACGGGAGAAGGGUUGUUAAGGAACUCGGCAAAUUGACCCCGUAACUUCGGGAGAAGGGGUGCUCCAGAGAUGGAGCCGCAGAGAAUCGGCCCAAGCAACUGUUUACCAAAAACACAGGUUUGUGCUAAAUCGAAAGAUGACGUAUACGAGCUGACGCCUGCCCGGUGCUGGAAGGUUAAGAGGAGAUGUGCAAGCAUUGAAUCGAAGCCCCAGUGAACGGCGGCCGUAACUAUAACGGUCCUAAGGUAGCGAAAUUCCUUGUCAGGUAAGUUCUGACCCGCAUGAAAGGCGUAAUGAUUUGGGCACUGUCUCAACAGCCCGCCCGGCGAAAUUGUAGUACCGGUGAAGAUGCCGGUUACCCGCGACAAGACGGAAAGACCCCAUGGAGCUUUACUGUAGCCUAAUAUUGGGUUUCGAUGUUGCAUGCACAGGAUAGAUGGGACUCUGGGAAGUGAUCGCUUUGGCGGUCAUGGAGAGGACGUUGGGAUACCAUCCUUGCGAUAUUGGAAUUCUAACCUGCGGCUCUGAAUCGAGUCGGGGGACAUUGUUAGGUGGGCAGUUUGACUGGGGCGGUCGCCUCCUAAAGAGUAACGGAGGCGUUCAAAGGUUCGCUCAGCUUGAACGGAAAUCAAGCAAAAGAGUGCAAACGCAGAAGCGAGCCUAACUGCGAGACUGACGGGUCGAGCAGUAACGAAAGUUGGAGUUAGUGAUCCGGUGGUAUGUGAGUGGAAAUGCCAUCGCUCAACGGAUAAAAGUUACCCUGGGGAUAACAGGCUGAUCUCCCCCAAGAGUCCACAUCGACGGGGAGGUUUGGCACCUCGAUGUCGGCUCA
RNAcentral lists this ribosomal RNA (1372 nucleotides) under metagenome. RNAcentral describes it as "bacterial LSU rRNA". It matches the Rfam family "Bacterial large subunit ribosomal RNA", at positions 1084 to 2539 of the family's 2925-position model. The record is from RNAcentral.